RNAcentral lists this ribosomal RNA (436 nucleotides) under Cohnella fermenti. RNAcentral describes it as "Bacterial large subunit ribosomal RNA". It matches the Rfam family "Bacterial large subunit ribosomal RNA", at positions 2384 to 2819 of the family's 2925-position model. Lineage: Bacteria; Bacillati; Bacillota; Bacilli; Caryophanales; Paenibacillaceae. The record is from Rfam by way of RNAcentral.
ACAAGUCGAGCAGGGAGGAAACUCGGGCUUAGUGAUCCGGUGGUACCGAAUGGAAGGGCCAUCGCUCAACGGAUAAAAGCUACCCUGGGGAUAACAGGCUUAUCUCCCCCAAGAGUCCACAUCGACGGGGAGGUUUGGCACCUCGAUGUCGGCUCAUCGCAUCCUGGGGCUGAAGUAGGUCCCAAGGGUUGGGCUGUUCGCCCAUUAAAGCGGUACGCGAGCUGGGUUCAGAACGUCGUGAGACAGUUCGGUCCCUAUCUGUCGCGGGCGUAGGAAAUUUGAGAGGGGCUGUCCUUAGUACGAGAGGACCGGGAUGGACGCACCGCUGGUGUACCAGUUGUUCCGCCAGGAGCAUAGCUGGGUAGCCAAGUGCGGGAGGGAUAAGCGCUGAAAGCAUCUAAGCGCGAAGCCCGCCUCAAGAUGAGAUUUCCCAGUA